This 302-nucleotide small nuclear RNA is filed under the name Octodon degus (degu). RNAcentral's name for it is "7SK RNA (ENSODEG00000023643.1)". It matches the Rfam family "7SK RNA". From Rfam's summary of the family: 7SK was discovered as an abundant small nuclear RNA in the mid-70s but a possible function has only recently been suggested. The record is from Rfam by way of RNAcentral. Lineage: Eukaryota; Metazoa; Chordata; Mammalia; Rodentia; Octodontidae.
GGAUGUGAGGGUUACCUGGCUGCGAUAUCUGUCACCCAUUAAUCACCAAGGUGGGUUCAGCUGAUCUGGCUGGCUAGGCGAUUGUCCUCUUCUUCCCUCACCAUUCCGUGUGCACUCCUCCCAAAGUUGCCCCAUUGAAGAGGACAGCCACCCUGGAUAAAGGAGGACCAUUUUCCUAGUCAAGAGUAUGAGUAUCUGUGCUCCCCUACUAGAACCUCCUAACCAGCUCCUGAGAAACAUUAAGGUUCCUACCAUUUAUUCUUUUCCUAGUAGCAUUGAUAAUAUGUAUUGUUGCCAUCCUC